UGCUAAAUUCUGAUUGGCUGGCUUGACAACCAAUCACAAGACUCCCUGCAUUACCGACAGAGGAAGAGGGAAAAUACAUAGUGGAAGAGACGUUUGUUCAAUGGUUUGAACACUAUCAAAGUCCCUAUAUAAAGUCUUUGACAAUUUAUUUUCAAGUUCAAAUGUCUACCACACGAAGACCACCGAUAUUC
Molecule: long non-coding RNA, 191 nt
Organism: Sinocyclocheilus grahami
Lineage: Eukaryota; Metazoa; Chordata; Actinopteri; Cypriniformes; Cyprinidae
Exons: 3
Source: RefSeq, a predicted model, not a curated record